Molecule: ribosomal RNA, 478 nt
Filed under: uncultured bacterium
Lineage: Bacteria
Description: partial 16S ribosomal RNA
Rfam family: Bacterial small subunit ribosomal RNA
Source: RNAcentral
GACGAACGCUGGCGGCGUGCUUAACACAUGCAAGUCGAACGGUAAGGCCCUUCGGGGUACACGAGUGGCGAACGGGUGAGUAACACGUGGGUGAUCUGCCCUGCACUUCGGGAUAAGCCUGGGAAACUGGGUCUAAUACCGGAUAGGACCACUGCCUGCAUGGGUGGUGGUGGAAAGCUUUUGCGGUGUGGGAUGGGCCCGCGGCCUAUCAGCUUGUUGGUGGGGUGAUGGCCUACCAAGGCGACGACGGGUAGCCGGCCUGAGAGGGUGACCGGCCACACUGGGGCUGAGAAACGGCCCAGACUCCUAUGGGGGGCAGCAGUGGGGAAUAUUGCACAAUGGGCGCAAGCCUGAUGCAGCGACGCGGCGUGAGGGAUGACGGCCUUCGGGUUGUAAACCUCUUUCAGCACCGACGAAGCGCAAGUGACGGUAGGUGCUGAAGAAGGACCGGCCAACUACGUGCCAGCCGCCGCCGUAA